This 494-nucleotide ribosomal RNA is filed under the name uncultured bacterium. RNAcentral describes it as "bacterial SSU rRNA". It matches the Rfam family "Bacterial small subunit ribosomal RNA", at positions 903 to 1397 of the family's 1533-position model. The record is from RNAcentral.
AAAGGAAUUGACGGGGGCCCGCACAAGCGGUGGAGCAUGUGGUUUAAUUCGAAGCAACGCGAAGAACCUUACCAGGGCUUGACAUCCCGUGCAUAUCACAGAGAUGUGAGAAGUCCUUCGGGACACGGAGACAGGUGGUGCAUGGUUGUCGUCAGCUCGUGUCGUGAGAUGUUGGGUUAAGUCCCGCAACGAGCGCAACCCUUAUAGUUAGUUGCUAACAGGUAAAGCUGAGCACUCUAGCUAGACUGCCGAAGAUAAUUCGGAGGAAGGUGGGGAUGACGUCAAAUCAUCAUGCCCUUUAUGUCCUGGGCUACACACGUGCUACAAUGGCAAUAACAGAGGGGAGCGAAGGCGCGAGCCGGAGCAAAUCCCUAAAAAGUUGUCUCAGUUCGGAUUGCAGUCUGCAACUCGACUGCAUGAAGUCGGAAUCGCUAGUAAUCGCGAAUCAGAAUGUCGCGGUGAAUACGUUCCCGGGCCUUGUACACACCGCCCGU